Molecule: ribosomal RNA, 496 nt
Filed under: uncultured bacterium
Lineage: Bacteria
Description: partial 16S ribosomal RNA
Rfam family: Bacterial small subunit ribosomal RNA
Source: RNAcentral
GAUGAACGCUGGCGGCGUGCCUAAUACAUGCAAGUCGAGCGAACAGACGAGGAGCUUGCUCCUCUGACGUUAGCGGCGGACGGGUGAGUAACACGUGGAUAACCUACCUAUAAGACUGGGAUAACUUCGGGAAACCGGAGCUAAUACCGGAUAAUAUAUUGAACCGCAUAGUUCAAUAGUGAAAGACGGUUUUGCUGUCACUUAUAGAUGGAUCCGCGCCGCAUUAGCUAGUUGGUAAGGUAACGGCUUACCAAGGCAACGAUGCGUAGCCGACCUGAGAGGGUGAUCGGCCACACUGGAACUGAGACACGGUCCAGACUCCUACGGGAGGCAGCAGUAGGGAAUCUUCCGCAAUGGGCGAAAGCUUGACGGAGCAACGCCGCGUGAGUGAUGAAGGUCUUCGGAUCGUAAAACUCUGUUAUUAGGGAAGAACAAAUGUGUAAGUAACUAUGCACGUCUUGACGGUACCUAAGCAGAAAGCCACGGCUAACUACGU